CACAGUUUGCUCCACAUUUCAGUGGCAGCUCUGAUGCAAUGCAAAGGUCAGAGGGCAAGACACACAUUGUAUGCAAACAGGAAAAUAAUUUCUUCUGGGAUCUGCUAAUAUACGGACAAAGGAGAGAAGCAUGUCAUCUGCUGUACAAGCCAAGGCAAACCCAGCUUCGUUCCAUGCAUCAGAGGGUUGAAUCAGAAAGAAAAGGAUUAAAGUUGCUCAAGGAGAGAGAAAAAGAAAGAACAAACUGCCUGAAAUCCAGCACUAUUCAUGUAUGCAGCAUGGAUUGUUUUAAAAUGCUGUUUUUCUUCAAACAUCACUUUCAUAAGGCCAAUUCUAAAUGGAUUGAGAUGACACUAAGAGGUUUGGCAUCAGACAAAAUCUGGAGAUGGAGUUAAGCCCUAUAAGCCCCAUAUGCAGUUAAACUUUCCCACUGGCUGAUGAGCAGUGGAGGACAAAAGCAGGCUGGCACGCUCUGUCCGUGGGUAAACUCAGUGAGGACUGCGGUGGCAAGAGGUCAGAUGCUGCUGUUCAUAGUCAUUGGCACAACACCUGGAGAUCAGCAGUGUCAGUGACCCCAGUGUUACCUCCUACGCAGUUAGCAGAAAGAAGAACAAGCAAAGAAAGAAACAAAAAACCCAACCAACCAAUCAAACACAAAAAAGCACCCAUCUGUUUUUAGAUGGCAGCCACAUAUGUAGCUAAACCUCCACACUGGAAGGCAGCAGCAGUAGUCAGGAGUGAGAAGGCUCAGGAAGCUCUCAGUAAAGUUUUUUGUGAAAAGUUAAAAUGUGUAACUCCGUGGCAAGGGACAGGAUGGUACACACUGCCAGGAGAAGGGGUAAUGGGUAUAUCAGCCUCCGAGGUUAAUUCAGCUUGAAAUGUUCUUGUGUUCUUGGGUCCCACCAGCCUCACCGUUCAGCACCUCUGCGGCUAUGCCAGGACAGCCACAGGCAGCAAACUAUCUCAGGACAAGGUUGAGGCUGAAGAAUUAAUCUACUUACAAAGGUGCAAGUAGAUGGAUGAAUAAAUGGGGUAAUAGAUUCUUCUUUGAAUUUAUAAGAUUUCAAAAUAAGGAAAGGACCAAAUAUGCCUGGCUUUUGCCACAUUAAAUUUGACAAGACUUCCUCCAGUGCUCCCACUUGGAUAGGACAUGGGGAGAGGUUGCUUCUGGUAGUCAGUGUGUAUAAUGGCUCUCACUCACCAUUUGCUGUGGAAUGGCUCAGGCUGAACUUGCAGGAUGCUGGAGGGGAUGCAGCUGGCCCUGCCAGCCCCACUGCACAGUGUGGAUUCCUCAGAGCAGUGCAAGUAUUGCAGCACAGUUCUGCUGCAGGUGGGAGAACAAGACCUGCAGCCCCGCAAGUUUUAACUUGGCACCGAAGGGCAUGAAGUUGAUGUUUUCUCUGUAGGGUGGCUAUUCAUGC
Molecule: long non-coding RNA, 1421 nt
Organism: Gallus gallus (chicken)
Lineage: Eukaryota; Metazoa; Chordata; Aves; Galliformes; Phasianidae
Source: Ensembl